This 280-nucleotide unclassified non-coding RNA is filed under the name Klebsiella variicola. Its description in RNAcentral is "tmRNA". It matches the Rfam family "transfer-messenger RNA", at positions 75 to 363 of the family's 374-position model. From Rfam's summary of the family: Bacterial tmRNA, also known as 10Sa RNA or SsrA, is named for its dual tRNA and mRNA-like properties. Its role is to liberate the mRNA from a stalled ribosome. RNAcentral also lists the same sequence under 2 other names. The record is from RNAcentral. Lineage: Bacteria; Pseudomonadati; Pseudomonadota; Gammaproteobacteria; Enterobacterales; Enterobacteriaceae.
AGCCGCAAAAAAUAGUCGCAAACGACGAAAACUACGCUUUAGCAGCUUAAUAACCUGCUCUGAGCCCUCUCUCCCUAGCUUCCGCUCUUAAGACGGGGAUCAAAGAGAGGUCAAACCCAAAAGAGAUCGCGUGGAUGCCCUGCCUGGGGUUGAAGCGUUAAAUCUAAUCAGGCUAGUUUGUUAGUGGCGUGUCUGUCCGCAGCUGGCAAGCGAAUGUAAAGACUGACUAAGCAUGUAGUGCCGAGGAUGUAGGAAUUUCGGACGCGGGUUCAACUCCCGC